AACAAAAGUAAUUCAUGUGAUAUAUUAAAAACUAAUGCAAGGGCAUAUUAUAUUUUCAUCAUUGUAAUUAUUACGUAAGUGCCUUAGCAAUUCAAUAACAUAUUUUGCUUAAAAAUCAUUAUUUUUCAAAUUUAUGCCCUACAUACCAACAUGUCUGCAAUAGAUAACGCUUUAUUACCAUGGGGGGAAAACCUUAAAGAUAUUAACCAUUAGAAUCAAGUAACAUCGUGGUUUAUAAUAUUAUCACCUCAGAAACCAUCAAAAUUUAAACUAAAUUUAAUCAAAAUGGUAUGUACUUACUCUAUGAAAAAUACUUUGAUUUUAGUUUAUUUUAUGUUAAAAAUUUUCAGGCUUCCAAAAUCUGCUUAUUACCUGCUAUAAUCCUGAUCCCGUUACAUUUCCAAUUCUCAAUGUUGGCAACCAAGUUAAUCACAUAGUUGACAAUGUUGGUAACGUCAUUGUUGGUGGCGUAGUCAACGUUGGCAACAAUGUAAUUGGAGGUGUAAUCAACAUUGGCAAUGAUCUUGUAGAUAGUGAUAUGACCAACAUGGUUAAUGGAUUAUCUGGCAUAGUAAUGUUCGCAGUAAUAAUUGCACUCAUUACCAGUAUGUUAACUGGUCUCCAAGUGUUUUUGAUUGGUUUUGCACUUAAUAUGCUCUUGUAAAAUUAUUUUAUAUCUACAUAAACUUGAUAUACCAUGUAAAUGUGAAAUCAAUAAUUAAAGCCCACUUAUUCAAGGACGAA
Molecule: long non-coding RNA, 744 nt
Organism: Dalotia coriaria
Lineage: Eukaryota; Metazoa; Arthropoda; Insecta; Coleoptera; Staphylinidae
Exons: 2
Source: RefSeq, a predicted model, not a curated record